CUCUUUCUUCCCGAGUCUCGGCCAGGUCUGAGGUGAAGCAGGAAGGCCCCAUACGGGGUGGCUAGGAAUGCCCUGUGUGGACUCCCAGGGGUCCAGUGACUUCCCUAAGACCACCAGGCAAGGUGGGGGUAGACCGAGUCCCAGUUCCUUCUGCCCACACUGUGUGCAAACCCUCUACUUCUGCCCACAAGGGCUAUAAUCUCCUAUCCCUUGAUGGUCUCAAUGACCUCUGCCCAGAUUUCUGAUGGGAAAACCAAGGGACGGAGAAGAAAAGCGACUUGCCCAUGUCUCAUGGCCCCAGGAACUCAAAAUCGAGGCGAGAUCUUUCUCAUCCGGGCUGCUUCUCCCAGCCCAAGAACAAAGCUGGACACGACAGGCUCAGGGGGAAAGAAGUGAGAGGAAGGCUGGAGCAGAGGAAGCGAGAACCCUCCAGAGAUGCGGAGCUGGACAGUUUUGCAGCUGUGCUGGUACCUGGAGCCUGGGCAGGCUGGGAGUCCUGCUUAACCCCACAGCCUGCAUGCUGGCACCAAGUGGGGGUCAAACCUAGGGCCUUCUGCUCCCAGGACAUAAGUCCCCCUCACUAUUCGGAUCUGCUGGAAGAACCAGAAUCCCAGCAGAAGUGCUGAGUCAUGUGGGGGAGUUUGCUGGCAUAACUUCUCCCCACCUGCACCCAAGGCAUUGUUGAGAAAAGAAAGUCUGCUGCCACCUAAGAGACCCAGAAUCAGAACAACGGUGUGAUCUGAACAAGAUGAAGGGGUGGUUUCAUGAUAAGAAUAAACUACAAGCUUCUUCUGCUCCUUCUAGAGAUGCUCAAGAAGACUAUGGGAUAAAGCCACUUAUCUCAACUGAUAAAGGUAUAGAGCUGAGGAUGCCUGAUCUUUGCUUACUGCUCCCCUGGCCCCAUCCUAAAGAAGGGCCCCACCAGUGAACUUAUGGACCCAUGGAACCAUUCCCACUGAGCAAGAAAUAUGAGACUGAAAGUGGACUCCAAGAUGUCAUGGCUCUUAUACUCUGUUGUGUCUACAGAACCUGAGACUGUGUCUAGCACUCAGAAAACACUGUAUCCAUUCAUUUAAUCAUGAAUUCAUCAUCUAUUGACAUCUCCCCGAGUGCCAGGUCCCUAUACUUCUCAUGCAUUAUCUCAUAUAACUGUAUGUUCUUGUGGAAGCAUAGUCACACUUGGGGGCAACAUAUUCAGUCUUUCUGUCCCAUAGGAUGAUGCUCUUUUAUGCAGUGCAACCAUAUGCUAUUACAAGGAGCAUUUGGUCCUCAAGAAUCAACACUCUUUCCAAAGUAUCCAUGUUUAUUCCUUCCAGGCAAUGAAUCAUCACAGCAAGAAAAAAAAAAAGGGGGCAGGGGGGCCAGCUAGAUCAUUUACCAAGGGAAUACUGUCUGGAUAAUGAUGUUCAAAUCAUGUGCUGCUUGGUGGGAACGAGAAGACACUGGCUCCUUCACAGGCAACCCUGGCCAAGAUGCAGACACAAAUAAGGAGUUUCAGCAUGGUUUGCCCUGCACUGAGAUGUUUUCUCUCCCGCAGAAGGUUAUGUUGAUGAGUGUGUACAAAGUGCAGGGUCAAGCCUGCUCUGACAAGAGGCAAUGGCUUUGGAAGCCAUUUAAUGGAGGCAUAUUUAGGAGUGGAGUUUCUUCCUCUUCUGUUCUUGCUCUCCCUUCUUAGAGUGCCUUUUAGACUGAACUUCUCCAGCUACUGCUCAUCAUGGUGAGAGCCAGGUGUAGAAAGGUUACCUUAUCACCAUCAACGCAAUAUUCCCUUUCAUUUUUGCCUCCUGGAGGCUGAAAAAUGGCCUAGAUUCCAAGAAAGUGAAAAAAAGAGGUGUGGAGGAGGGCCUUUAGCUUUUCUCAAUAGCGUUUCCUUGGGGUCCUUUCCAGGCAAGCAUGACCCUCUCUCAUUUUCUAGAUGAGAAAUCCCAGGGAUGAGCACUUAAAUGGUAUUUCUAAAUCAGAGUCAGGGCCUGCGUUUCAGAUGGAACCCACAGACUCUCCUGAGAGGCUCUGGAUGGGGCGGAUUUGGCAUGCAAAAAGUAGGCUCCUGGCCUGGCUCUGCCCUCACCAACUGGGUGAACCUGGGCAAAUCAUUUCCAGCCUGGACUGAUACCUGGACUGGUAGCAUCAGCAUCACCAGGGAGCUUGUCAAAAAUGCAAUGUUCUGCCCUCCUCUUGUCUUUCUGGAUCAGCUCAGGGGCUGCACCAAGCCCUCUAGGUGAGUGUGGGCCUGCUCAGGGUUGAGGUCCACUGCCCCACUGGAAGGGACAGGGGCCACUCAGCCCCAAGCUAGAUAGCCAGGUGGACAUCUGGGCCCAGGACUAGCAGAUCUUCCCCUUCUUCCAAAGAAGCUAGUGGUCCAGAUUAUUUUAAGAAAUGAGAUUUUAAAAUAUUGGUAACAAAGUCAAGACACCGUGUUGCCAAAAACAACAGAAGGAGUCUGUGGGCUGCCUUGGGUACCACGUCCUACAUUUGGGCUCCAUUCUGAUUUUGGUUUCAAGAGAUCAUAAGAGCUGGUCUAUAUCCCUAAAUAAGGAAUCCUCUUACCUCCUUAUGACCUGGGGUUAGGUCUUGGGACAAGCAACAGGGUCUUUCUGACCUCUCCUUUGGCCCCUGCAGCCUACCAGCCCUCUCAGUUGUGUUCACAUCAUGUAGCCUCUGCAGGAUUCUAAGCUCCUUGGGGACAGAGAGGGUCUUGCCAUGGCAAUUUGCUGCACAGCAUCUACCUCAGAUGUGAACACAUUUGUGGCUACACUUAAUGAAUGAAUUGAAUCAUCCCUCGCCAAUCUCCAGCACCGAAAUCACAAUUUGAAGCUUGGUAGGAAUUUUCAUGGGACUCAUCAUUCAGAUACUAUGGAUCCUGCAAUCAUCACCAGGCAAAUAUUUCCCAAGCAUAUCCUCUGUGCAGGCACCAAGCUCUGGGCUGGGAAAGAAAUGUGGACCUGAUGUGCUCCGGCCUCCAGGGGGCGUGGAUUUUAAGCCGGUGGUUUUCAAUCCCCUCCAACCCAGGGUUGGUGCACACUCUCAGCAAAAUAGUUUUCAGCAUGCAUCUCCAAUAUAUGUACAGUUUAAAACUGAUAAAUAAUAUGCAUAUGUACUGCUAUUUCAUUCUCUUUGUAAAUCUUUAAAUAAAAAUUAGGAAAUUUAAGGCCAGCUACGGUGGCUCACACCUGUAAUCCUAGCACUCUGGGAGCCCAAGGUGGGUGAAUAACUUGGGGUUAGGAGUACUAGACUGCCCUGGCCAACAUGGUGAAGCCCCAUUUCUACUAAAAACACAAAACAAAAAUUAGCCAGGCAUGGUGGCGUACACCUGUAAACAGCCCAGCUAGUGGGGAGGCUGAGGCAGGAGAACUGCUUGAACCCGGAAGGUGGAGAUUACAGAGAGCCGAGAUUGCAC
This 3397-nucleotide long non-coding RNA is filed under the name Homo sapiens (human). RNAcentral describes it as "non-protein coding lnc-SDSL-12:2". Lineage: Eukaryota; Metazoa; Chordata; Mammalia; Primates; Hominidae. The record is from RNAcentral.